UAUAGUCCCGUCUCCCAAAAAAGAUCGAUAUCGAGUAAAAAAGUAACACGGAAAGAACGAGAUAGAGAACCCAACGAGAUAGACAACGUUAUAGGCGGAGACCUUGAUAGCCAUUGUUCGAAAGCGCUAUUUGUAUUUAUUCGAAGCCUUUGUUCGGACGGCUCGGAAAGCGGGGCUGUAGAUGAGAGAAAGCGAGAGAGAAAAAGAAAGAGAAAGAGCAAGUAAGAAGGAGAGGGAAGAAUUACUUUGCUAGCUAAAGGGAAAGGUGUUCGCGUGCGAUUUGGCCCCACCCCGACGGACCGACGAUCGUGCACGCGCGCGUGUGUGAAUGCACCUCGUGCAUUGGAUGCAACUGCAAGUGGUCAGUAGCUCGCAAAACGACU
Long non-coding RNA from Polistes canadensis, 383 nucleotides. RefSeq lists it as uncharacterized. The record is from RefSeq and is a predicted model, not a curated record. The transcript is spliced from 2 exons. NCBI's taxonomy places the organism in Eukaryota, Metazoa, Arthropoda, Insecta, Hymenoptera, Vespidae.